UUGAACGCUGGCGGCAGGCCUAACACCUGCCAGUCGCACGGUAACAGAAAGCAGCUUGCUGCUUUGCUGACGAGUGGCGGACGGGUGAGUAAUGUCUGGGAAACUGCCUGAUGGAGGGGGAUAACUACUGGAAACGGUAGCUAAUACCGCAUAACGUCGCAAGACCAAAGAGGGGGACCUUCGGGCCUCUUGCCAUCGGAUGUGCCCAGAUGGGAUUAGCUAGUAGGUGGGGUAACGGCUCACCUAGGCGACGAUCCCUAGCUGGUCUGAGAGGAUGACCAGCCACACUGGAACUGAGACACGGUCCAGACUCCUACGGGAGGCAGCAGUGGGGAAUAUUGCACAAUGGGCGCAAGCCUGAUGCAGCCAUGCCGCGUGUAUGAAGAAGGCCUUCGGGUUGUAAAGUACUUUCAGCGGGGAGGAAGGGAGUAAAGUUAAUACCUUUGCUCAUUGACGUUACCCGCAGAAGAAGCACCGGCUAACUCCGUG
This 489-nucleotide ribosomal RNA is filed under the name uncultured bacterium. RNAcentral's name for it is "partial 16S ribosomal RNA". It matches the Rfam family "Bacterial small subunit ribosomal RNA", at positions 30 to 507 of the family's 1533-position model. The record is from RNAcentral.